RNAcentral lists this ribosomal RNA (490 nucleotides) under uncultured bacterium. RNAcentral describes it as "partial 16S ribosomal RNA". It matches the Rfam family "Bacterial small subunit ribosomal RNA", at positions 28 to 507 of the family's 1533-position model. The record is from RNAcentral.
GAUGAACGCUAGCGAUAGGCUUAACACAUGCAAGUCGAGGGGCAGCAUGGUCUUAGCUUGCUAAGACUGAUGGCGACCGGCGCACGGGUGCGUAACGCGUAUGCAACUUGCCUCACAGAGGGGGAUAACCCGUCGGAAGACGGACUAAUACCGCGUACACUCCAUCUUGGGCAUCCAAGGUAGAGGAAAUGAAAUUCGCUGUGAGAUAGGCAUGCGUCCCAUUAGCUAGUUGGUGAGGUAACGGCUCACCAAGGCGACGAUGGGUAGGGGAACUGAGAGGUUGAACCCCCACACUGGUACUGAGACACGGACCAGACUACUACGGGAGGCAGCAGUGAGGAAUAUUGGUCAAUGGGCGAGAGCCUGAACCAGCCAAGUCGCGUGAAGGAUGACUGUCUUAUGGAUUGUAAACUUCUUUUAUACGGGAAUAACAAGAGUCACGUGUGACUCCCUGCAUGUACCGUAUGAAUAAGCAUCGGCUAACUCCGUG